AUCUUUUUGUAGUUCAUAGGAAUGAUGAUUGGGUGUUCACAUGACUGUGUGAAAUGUACCUCUCUCAAAUCUUGUUACUAUAUUGACAUAUUACCCUUCUGACA
This is a small nucleolar RNA of Otolemur garnettii (small-eared galago), 104 nucleotides long. The record is from Ensembl. NCBI's taxonomy places the organism in Eukaryota, Metazoa, Chordata, Mammalia, Primates, Galagidae.